GUGGGGAAUAUUGGACAAUGGGCGAAAGCCUGAUCCAGCCAUGCCGCGUGUGUGAAGAAGGUCUUCGGAUUGUAAAGCACUUUAAUUUGGGAGGAAGGGCAGUAAGUUAAUACCUUGCUGUUUUGACGUUACCGACAGAAUAAGCACCGGCUAACUUCGUGCCAGCAGCCGCGGUAAUACGAAGGGUGCAAGCGUUAAUCGGAAUUACUGGGCGUAAAGCGCGCGUAGGUGGUUUUGUAAGUUGGAGGUGAAAUCCCCGGGCUCAACCUGGGAACUGCCUCCAAAACUGCAUGACUAGAGUACGGUAGAGGGUAGUGGAAUUUCCUGUGUAGCGGUGAAAUGCGUAGAUAUAGGAAGGAACACCAGUGGCGAAGGCGACUACCUGGACUGAUACUGACACUGAGGUGCGAAAGCGUGGGGAGCAAACAGGAUUAGAAACCCGAGUAGUCC
Molecule: ribosomal RNA, 450 nt
Filed under: uncultured bacterium
Lineage: Bacteria
Description: partial 16S ribosomal RNA
Rfam family: Bacterial small subunit ribosomal RNA
Source: RNAcentral